Molecule: unclassified non-coding RNA, 252 nt
Filed under: fungal sp.
Lineage: Eukaryota; Fungi
Description: partial contains 5.8S ribosomal RNA, internal transcribed spacer 2, and large subunit ribosomal RNA
Source: RNAcentral
CGCACAUUGCGCCCUCUGGUAUUCCGGAGGGCAUGCCUGUUCGAGCGUCAUUUCAACCCUCAAGCCUGGCUUGGUGAUGGGGCACUGCCUUUGAGACACAGGGCAGGCCCUUAAAUUCAGUGGCGAGCUCUCCGAGACCCCGAGCGCAGUAGUUAAACCCUCGCUCUGGAAGGUCCUGGUGUGGCCCUGCCGUUAAACCCCCAACUCUGAAAAUUUGACCUCGGAUCAGGUAGGAAUACCCGCUGAACUUAA